GCAUAUCAAUAAGCGGAGGAAAAGAAACCAACAGGGAUUGCCUCAGUAACGGCGAGUGAAGCGGCAAAAGCUCAAAUUUGAAAUCCCCCGGGAAUUGUAAUUUGAAGAGAUUUGGGUCCGGCCGGCNGGGGUUAAGUCCACUGGAAAGUGGCGCCACAGAGGGUGACAGCCCCGUGAACCCCYUCAACGCCUUYAUCCCAGRUCUCCAAGAGUCGAGUUGUUUGGGAAUGCAGCUCUAAGUGGGUGGUAAAUUCCAUCUAAAGCUAAAUACCGGCGAGAGACCGAUAGCGAACAAGUACAGUGAUGGAAAGAUGAAAAGCACUUUGAAAAGAGAGUGAAAAAGUACGUGAAAUUGUUGAAAGGGAAGGGCUUGCAAGCAGACACUUAACUGGGCCAGCAUCGGGGCGGCGGGGAGCAAAACCACYGGGGAAUGUACCUUUCGAGGAUUAUAACCCCGGUCCUUACUCCCUCRCCRUCCCGAGGCCUGCAAUCUAAGGAUGCUGGCGUAAUGGUUGCAAGUCGCCCGUCUUGAAACACGGACCAA
Molecule: ribosomal RNA, 544 nt
Filed under: Metschnikowia pulcherrima
Lineage: Eukaryota; Fungi; Ascomycota; Pichiomycetes; Serinales; Metschnikowiaceae
Description: partial large subunit ribosomal RNA
Source: RNAcentral